This 1440-nucleotide long non-coding RNA is filed under the name Sarcophilus harrisii (Tasmanian devil). RNAcentral's name for it is "lncRNA (ENSSHAG00000006464.2)". Lineage: Eukaryota; Metazoa; Chordata; Mammalia; Dasyuromorphia; Dasyuridae. The record is from RNAcentral.
CGGCUUUAUUAUUUAAUCUUAAGAUUUUCGGAACUGAGUUGGGAUCCUAAAACACAAGAAUUUUUGCACUCGCAAUUCUAGCAUGAGGAUUGUGAUUUUAUACUUCACGGACAAAAUAUCCUCCUCCUAUACUUGUCUCCCAUACCCUCAACAACUAAACAAAACGGGAGUAAAAAGAGCUUGUCUGAGUAAAAUCAUUUUGACUUUCCAGGUUCCGGAAUCAAGAAAAAAAGAAACUAGUGCUUUUUUAUUUUUCUCACCCGAGGAGCCAAAAAAAGAAAAAGUUUCCAGGGAAGAAACCUUCACAGUCAGAAAUUAGUCCAAUUGGGCUAGUAAGCCCUGGAAUUCCAGCAAACAUAAAAGGGACUGGGAUGGAAGAAAGGACAGGACUUCGGGCUUUGUCGUCACCUCGGAGGAGACGCACAGGAAAAGCUUUGUUUCGGACUGUAGUUCUACAAGAGUUAUUGCAGUUAUUUUCGCAACCAUCACUUUAACAGUAACAAUAAUAAAUGCGAUGUUACCAAAGUUUUAGUUCUUCCUUUGAUUACUUCCAAAUCACCGUGGAAUACGCAUUUGAAUUACCCCAAAUUAAAAAGUAUAAAUGAUUAUGUUUGAACAGUGGGAUUUGGGGAAGCAAGUCGAACAAGGAUAUUUCUUUGUAAAAAAAUCUUUGUAUUUUUGCGAAAUCUUUUUCUUUCUUCCCCACCCCCAUUUCUUUGUCACUAUUCACUGUCUUUCAUCCACAAGCUGCCUGAUCCCCGAGUGCACCUGGUUCAUUUCUGACAAUUCCUCUGCAGAAAGCUUUCCGGUUUUCUGACACCCACUUCUAAUGAAAUGCGUGAUGUUUUUUCUUUACAACCUAACCACUGUGCAAAUGGAGCGGUUUUACAUAUUCCCCUUCUAAAAGGAGAGUACAAAAACCCUAGUAUUGCUUAAAAAAAUUUUUUUUAAGAUUUGUUUUUUCUUUACCUCACCCCGCCUUCUUGUUUUCCAUGUACCUAUCUCAAUUAAAGAUCUCUAUACAUGAAAUAGUUUGCUAGAUACAAAAGCUAAUUUAAAUAUUUUUGGUCUUUUUAGAUUCAAACUUAUUUUUUUCUUUUUCUCAUUUUUCUUUUUUUUUUUCUUCUUUCCCCCUUAUCUCCAUCUCUCUUCUCUCUGUGUCAGUCUCUCAACAGAGAAUUGCCCAAUUAACUUUUUUCUUCCCUGACUACGAAGACUUCAUUGGAGUGGGGAGGCAUAUCCAUCCAUUCAGUCUUAUCCUUGGCCACUUUUCCAAAUCACUGUUAAUCUGUGGGCAGGAGUAUUUGUAAAGGCUCCAGUGGCUUUGUCAGAGAUGUGUGGGAGCGUUGAGAUGAAUCUUUACAAUGAAUGUUUUGUUUUUGUCUCUGAACUCAUUUACUACUCUAUUUCCUACAGCAGCGAAAUCCUUUAAAAAUUCUG